Molecule: long non-coding RNA, 169 nt
Organism: Drosophila hydei
Lineage: Eukaryota; Metazoa; Arthropoda; Insecta; Diptera; Drosophilidae
Exons: 2
Source: RefSeq, a predicted model, not a curated record
CUCUUGCUCUCAUAUAAAGUUUGAGCCCAAAAGGAAGCUAAACACAUUUUUCAUAUUCAUGGAAGAAAAUUCCGCAAGGCCGAGCUUUCCCACCGACAUCUCAUCAGCGGCAACAUAUUGGCAUUUGUCCACUUCAAAAUCCCCGCAUAAAUAAGAAGUAGACGGCGAA